CCUACGGGAGGCUGCAGUGAGGAAUAUUGGUCAAUGGGCGUAAGCCUGAACCAGCCAAGCCGCGUGAGGGAUGAAGGUUCUAUGGAUCGUAAACCUCUUUUAUAAGGGAAUAAAGUGCGGGACGUGUCCCGUUUUGUAUGUACCUUAUGAAUAAGGAUCGGCUAACUCCGUGCCAGCAGCCGCGGUAAUACGGAGGAUCCGAGCGUUAUCCGGAUUUAUUGGGUUUAAAGGGUGCGUAGGCGGCCUUUUAAGUCAGCGGGGAAAGUCUGUGGCUCAACCAUAGAAUUGCAGUUGAAACUGGGAGGCUUGAGUAUGUUUGAGGCAGGCGGAAUGCGUGGUGUAGCGGUGAAAUGCUUAGAUAUCAGGCAGAACCCCGAUGGCGAAGGCAGCCUGCCAAGCCAUGACUGACGCUGAUGCACGAAAGCGUGGGGAUCAAACAGGAUUAGAUACCCGAGUAGGC
RNAcentral lists this ribosomal RNA (460 nucleotides) under uncultured bacterium. RNAcentral describes it as "partial 16S ribosomal RNA". It matches the Rfam family "Bacterial small subunit ribosomal RNA", at positions 338 to 795 of the family's 1533-position model. The record is from RNAcentral.